AGUUUUGCGCAGUGGCAGUGUCGUAGCCAAUGAGGUUUAUCCGAGGCGCGAUUAUUGCUAAUUGAAACAAAACCAGAUGCCCAUGGCCUUAGGAAAUGAGGGGAUUUGCUGUGUGCUACAAAUAUAUCCAGACCGAGGAGCAAGAAGUUAUGCAAAGCCUGGAGGU
This 166-nucleotide small nuclear RNA is filed under the name Rhinolophus ferrumequinum (greater horseshoe bat). Its description in RNAcentral is "U4 spliceosomal RNA (ENSRFEG00010003142.1)". The stretch from base 1 to 127 matches the Rfam family "U4 spliceosomal RNA". Rfam says of the family: U4 small nuclear RNA (U4 snRNA) is a component of the major U2-dependent spliceosome. The structure of U4 snRNA from yeast and human has been reported. U4 snRNA presents a k-turn RNA motif in the 5p-SL related to recognition of Snu13 protein. The record is from Rfam by way of RNAcentral. Lineage: Eukaryota; Metazoa; Chordata; Mammalia; Chiroptera; Rhinolophidae.